RNAcentral lists this small RNA (28 nucleotides) under Bombyx mori (domestic silkworm). Its description in RNAcentral is "ovarian small RNA-12180". The record is from RNAcentral. Lineage: Eukaryota; Metazoa; Arthropoda; Insecta; Lepidoptera; Bombycidae.
AGGAGGCAGCAGCCAGUCCGCGAGAAGA